RNAcentral lists this ribosomal RNA (484 nucleotides) under uncultured bacterium. RNAcentral's name for it is "partial 16S ribosomal RNA". It matches the Rfam family "Bacterial small subunit ribosomal RNA", at positions 30 to 507 of the family's 1533-position model. The record is from RNAcentral.
AUUGAACGCUGGCGGCAGGCCUAACACAUGCAAGUCGAGCGGAUGAAGGGAGCUUGCUCCUGGAUUCAGCGGCGGACGGGUGAGUAAUGCCUAGGAAUCUGCCUGGUAGUGGGGGAUAACGUCCGGAAACGGGCGCUAAUACCGCAUACGUCCUGAGGGAGAAAGUGGGGGAUCUUCGGACCUCACGCUAUCAGAUGAGCCUAGGUCGGAUUAGCUAGUUGGUGGGGUAAAGGCCUACCAAGGCGACGAUCCGUAACUGGUCUGAGAGGAUGUUCAGUCACACUGGAACUGAGACACGGUCCAGACUCCUACGGGAGGCAGCAGUGGGGAAUAUUGGACAAUGGGCGAAAGCCUGAUCCAGCCAUGCCGCGUGUGUGAAGAAGGUCUUCGGAUUGUAAAGCACUUUAAGUUGGGAGGAAGGGCAGUAAGUUAAUACCUUGCUGUUUUGACGUUACCAACAGAAUAAGCACCGGCUAACCUCGUG